GACGAACGCUGGCGGCGUGCUUAACACAUGCAAGUCGAACGGAAAGGCCCUGCUUUUGUGGGGUGCUCGAGGGGCGAACGGGUGAGUAACACGUGAGUAACCUGUCCUUGACUUUGGGAUAACUUCAGGAAACUGGGGCUAAUACCGGAUAGGAGCUCCUGCUGCAUGGUGGGGGUUGGAAAGUUUCGGCGGUUGGGGAUGGACUCGCGGCUUAUCAGCUUGUUGGUGGGGUAGUGGCUUACCAAGGCUUUGACGGGUAGCCGGCCUGAGAGGGUGACCGGCCACAUUGGGACUGAGCUGCGGCACAGACUCCUACGGGAGGCAGCAGUGGGGAAUAUUGCACAAUGGGCGGAAGGCUGAUGCAGCAACGCCGCGUGCGGGAUGACGGCCUUCGGGUUGUAAACCGCUUUCGCCUGUGACGAAGCGUGAGUGACGGUAAUGGGUAAAGAAGCACCGGCUAACUACGUG
RNAcentral lists this ribosomal RNA (468 nucleotides) under uncultured bacterium. RNAcentral's name for it is "partial 16S ribosomal RNA". It matches the Rfam family "Bacterial small subunit ribosomal RNA", at positions 28 to 507 of the family's 1533-position model. The record is from RNAcentral.